ACGCGAAGACCUUACCUGGGCUUGACAUCCCGCGCUAUCCUAUGAAAGUAGGAGUUCCUUCGGGACGCGGAGACAGGUGUUGCAUGGCUGUCGUCAGCUCGUGUCGUGAGAUGUUGGGUUAAGUCCCGCAACGAGCGCAACCCCCGCCAUUAGUUGCCAGCAUUUAGUUGGGCACUCUAAUGGGACCGCUUGCUGAUAAGGCAGAGGAAGGUGGGGAUGACGUCAAGUCCGCAUGGCCCUUACGCCCAGGGCCACACACGUGUUACAAUGGCUAGUACAAAGGGUUGCAAUCCCGUAAGGGUGAGCUAAUCUCAUAAAACUAGUCUAAGUUCGGAUUGAGGUCUGCAACUCGACCUCAUGAAGUUGAAAUCGCUAGUAAUCGCGCAUCAGAACGGCGCGGUGAAUACGUUCUCGGGUCUUGUACACACCG
This 430-nucleotide ribosomal RNA is filed under the name uncultured bacterium. Its description in RNAcentral is "bacterial SSU rRNA". It matches the Rfam family "Bacterial small subunit ribosomal RNA", at positions 959 to 1392 of the family's 1533-position model. The record is from RNAcentral.